Molecule: unclassified non-coding RNA, 305 nt
Filed under: plant metagenome
Description: partial contains 5.8S ribosomal RNA, internal transcribed spacer 2, and large subunit ribosomal RNA
Rfam family: 5.8S ribosomal RNA (bases 1-105)
Source: RNAcentral
GAAAUGCGAUAAGUAGUGUGAAUUGCAGAAUUCAGUGAAUCAUCGAAUCUUUGAACGCACAUUGCGCCCUUUGGUAUUCCUUAGGGCAUGCCUGUUCGAGCGUCAUCUAAACCUUCAAGCCCUGCUUGGUGUUGGGUGCCUGUCCCGCCUCCGCGCGCGGACUCACCUCAAAUCCAUUGGCGGCCCCCGCGUCGGCCACGAGCGCAGCAGAAACGCGAACUCGUGAGCCCGUCCGGGCGACUCCCAGAAGCUACACCCACCCAGUUUGACCUCGGAUCAGGUAGGGAUACCCGCUGAACUUAAGC